Molecule: unclassified non-coding RNA, 648 nt
Filed under: Hevea brasiliensis (rubber tree)
Lineage: Eukaryota; Viridiplantae; Streptophyta; Magnoliopsida; Malpighiales; Euphorbiaceae
Source: RNAcentral
GAGAAGUUUUUGAGAUGUUUAUGUAUUAGUGAUACAAAUUAAAUUGUUGUCUAGGAGAAGUUGCAAAUGGUCGAAAGUUAUGGAGUGUGUUGAUGAGCAGGAGGGGAUACCAUGUUGCAGUGCCUGGAUGGGGUUAAGCACUUUUGUGGUGUUUUACUGAAGUGCUGUGAAAUCGACAUAUACAAUCAGGCGAAGGGGCUCGAAGAUCCGGAGCUUUUAGCUCGAGAGACUGUGUUUAGUGUUAGUGAAAUUGAAGCACUAUAUGAGCUGUUUAAGAAGAUCAGUAGUGCUGUGAUUGAUGAUGGGCUGAUCAAUAAGGAAGAGUUCCAGUUGGCGCUGUUCAAGACCAAUAAGAAGGAGAGCUUGUUUGCUGAUCGGGUAUUUGACUUGUUCGACACCAAACACAAUGGAAUUUUAGGUUUUGAAGAGUUUGCACGUGCUCUCUCUGUCUUCCAUCCUAAUGCUCCGAUCGAUGAUAAAAUCCAGUUUUCUUUCCAGCUGUAUGAUCUCAAGCAGCAAGGAUUUAUUGAAAGACAAGAGGUGAAGCAAAUGGUAGUGGCCACACUUGCUGAAUCUGGAAUGAAUCUUUCGGAUGAUGUUAUAGAAAGCAUCAUAGACAAGACGUUUGAGGAAGCUGAUACAAAGCAU